GAUGAACGCUGGCGGCGUGCCUAAUACAUGCAAGUCGAGCGAACGGACGAGAAGCUUGCUUCUCUGGUGUUAGCGGCGGACGGGUGAGUAACACGUGGAUAACCUACCUAUAAGACUGGGAUAACUUCGGGAAACCGGAGCUAAUACCGGAUAAUAUUUUGAACCGCAUGGUUCAAAAGUGAAAGACGGUCUUGCUGUCACUUAUAGAUGUAUCCGCGCUGCAUUAGCUAGUUGGUAAGGUAACGGCUUACCAAGGCAACGAUGCAUAGCCGACCUGAGAGGGUGAUCGGCCACACUGGAACUGAGACACGGUCCAGACUCCUACGGGAGGCAGCAGUAGGGAAUCUUCCGCAAUGGGCGAAAGCCUGACGGAGCAACGCCGCGUGAGUGAUGAAGGUCUUCGGAUCGUAAAACUCUGUUAUUAGGGAAGAACAUAUGUGUAAGUAACUGUGCACAUCUUGACGGUACCUAAUCAGAAAGCCACGGCUAACUACGUG
Molecule: ribosomal RNA, 497 nt
Filed under: uncultured bacterium
Lineage: Bacteria
Description: partial 16S ribosomal RNA
Rfam family: Bacterial small subunit ribosomal RNA
Source: RNAcentral